AUCGCUUCUCGGCCUUUUUGGCUAAGAUCAAGUGUAGUAAUUUGUCAUUACUAUGUUGGGUUAAUACUUUUAGUGAUUGUUUUAAUACCUGCUUUUAUUCCUUUAGAAAGCGUGACUCAUACUAUACAGCUCCCUUCAGACUCCCUUUUUAUGACAUAGUUAUAAGGGGAGACCUGAAGGUCCUUGA
Molecule: small nuclear RNA, 187 nt
Organism: Apodemus sylvaticus (European woodmouse)
Lineage: Eukaryota; Metazoa; Chordata; Mammalia; Rodentia; Muridae
Product: U2 spliceosomal RNA
Exons: 1
Source: RefSeq, a predicted model, not a curated record